AUUGAACGCUGGCGGCAUGCUUUACACAUGCAAGUCGAACGGCAGCACGGGGGCAACCCUGGUGGCGAGUGGCGAACGGGUGAGUAACACAUCGGAACGUGUCCAGUUGUGGGGGAUAACCCAUCGAAAGGUGGGCUAAUACCGCAUGAGCUGGCAACAGGAAAGCGGGGGACCCGCAAGGGCCUUGUGCGAUUGGAGCGGCCGAUGUCCGAUUAGCUAGUUGGUGGGGUAAAGGCCUACCAAGGCUUCGAUCGGUAGCUGGUCUGAGAGGAUGAUCAGCCACACUGGGACUGAGACACGGCCCAGACUCCUACGGGAGCAGCAGUGGGGAAUUUUGGACAAUGGGGGCAACCCUGAUCCAGCCAUGCCGCGUGAGUGAAGAAGGCCU
Molecule: ribosomal RNA, 388 nt
Filed under: uncultured bacterium
Lineage: Bacteria
Description: bacterial SSU rRNA
Rfam family: Bacterial small subunit ribosomal RNA
Source: RNAcentral